UACGUAGGGAGCUAGCGUUGUUCGGAAUUACUGGGCGUAAAGCGCACGUAGGCGGCUUUGUAAGUUAGAGGUGAAAGCCCGGAGCUCAACUCCGGAAUUGCCUUUAAGACUGCAUCGCUUGAAUCCAGGAGAGGUGAGUGGAAUUCCGAGUGUAGAGGUGAAAUUCGUAGAUAUCGGGAGGAACACCAGUGGCGAAGGCGGCGAUCUGGGAAGAUACUGACGCUGAGGUGCGAAAGCGUGGGGAGCAAACAGG
RNAcentral lists this ribosomal RNA (253 nucleotides) under uncultured bacterium. Its description in RNAcentral is "partial 16S ribosomal RNA". It matches the Rfam family "Bacterial small subunit ribosomal RNA", at positions 524 to 776 of the family's 1533-position model. The record is from RNAcentral.